UUGGCUAGUUGGUCCCUCUUU
Caenorhabditis elegans is the source of this 21-nucleotide non-coding RNA. The record is from Ensembl. Lineage: Eukaryota; Metazoa; Nematoda; Chromadorea; Rhabditida; Rhabditidae.